UACGUAGGGGGCAAGCGUUGUCCGGAUUUACUGGGCGUAAAGAGCGUGUAGGCGGCCACGCAGGUCGGUUGUGAAAACUGGAGGCUCAACUUCCAGCCGUCGACGGAAACCGUGUGGCUAGAGUCCGGAAGAGGAGAGUGGAAUUCCUGGUGUAGCGGUGAAAUGCGCAGAUAUCAGGAAGAACACCAAUGGCGAAGGCAGCUCUCUGGGACGGUACUGACGCUGAGACGCGAAAGCGUGGGGAGCGAACAGG
Molecule: ribosomal RNA, 253 nt
Filed under: uncultured bacterium
Lineage: Bacteria
Description: partial 16S ribosomal RNA
Rfam family: Bacterial small subunit ribosomal RNA
Source: RNAcentral